Molecule: ribosomal RNA, 1286 nt
Filed under: metagenome
Description: bacterial SSU rRNA
Rfam family: Bacterial small subunit ribosomal RNA
Source: RNAcentral
UAGCUAGUUGGUGAGGUAAAGGCUUACCAAGGCGACGAUCUGUAGCGGGUCUGAGAGGAUGAUCCGCCACACUGGAACUGAGACACGGUCCAGACUCCUACGGGAGGCAGCAGUGGGGAAUUUUGGACAAUGGGGGCAACCCUGAUCCAGCCAUGCCGCGUGAGUGAAGAAGGCCUUCGGGUUGUAAAGCUCUUUCGGCCGGGAAGAAAUCGCAUGGGCCAAUACCCUGUGUGGAUGACGGUACCGGAAUAAGAAGCACCGGCUAACUACGUGCCAGCAGCCGCGGUAAUACGUAGGGUGCGAGCGUUAAUCGGAAUUACUGGGCGUAAAGCGUGCGCAGGCGGUUUUGUAAGACAGGCGUGAAAUCCCCGGGCUUAACCUGGGAACUGCGUUUGUGACUGCAAGGCUAGAGUACGGCAGAGGGGGGUGGAAUUCCACGUGUAGCAGUGAAAUGCGUAGAGAUGUGGAGGAACACCAAUGGCGAAGGCAGCCCCCUGGGUCGAUACUGACGCUCAUGCACGAAAGCGUGGGUAGCAAACAGGAUUAGAUACCCUGGUAGUCCACGCCCUAAACUAUGUCAACUAGGUGUUGGGUGGGUAAAACCAUUUAGUACCGUAGCUAACGCGUGAAGUUGACCGCCUGGGAGUACGGCCGCAAGGUUAAAACUCAAAGGAAUUGACGGGGACCCGCACAAGCGGUGGAUGAUGUGGAUUAAUUCGAUGCAACGCGAAAAACCUUACCUACCCUUGACAUGCCAGGAACUUGCCAGAGAUGGCUUGGUGCCCGAAAGGGAGCCUGGACACAGGUGCUGCAUGGCUGUCGUCAGCUCGUGUCGUGAGAUGUUGGGUUAAGUCCCGCAACGAGCGCAACCCUUGUCGUUAAUUGCCAUCAUUUAGUUGGGCACUUUAACGAGACUGCCGGUGACAAACCGGAGGAAGGUGGGGAUGACGUCAAGUCCUCAUGGCCCUUAUGGGUAGGGCUUCACACGUCAUACAAUGGUCGGUACAAAGGGUUGCCAAGCCGCGAGGCGGAGCCAAUCCCAGAAAGCCGAUCGUAGUCCGGAUUGCAGGCUGCAACUCGCCUGCAUGAAGUCGGAAUCGCUAGUAAUCGUGGAUCAGCAUGUCACGGUGAAUACGUUCCCGGGUCUUGUACACACCGCCCGUCACACCAUGGGAGCGGGUUCCGCCAGAAGUAGGUAGCCUAACCGCAAGGGGGGCGCUUACCACGGCGGGGUUCGUGACUGGGGUGAAGUCGUAACAAGGUAGCCGUAGGGGAACCUGCGGCUG